UUAUAAAAGCAAUUGGAAUGAUAAAUUAUUGCAAUAUUCUUAUGAUAGAUGCACCAUGGCAUUCAAUCUUCUACAUAUCCAUACUAGCCAAAGUCUAAUUAAAACUAAUAUGUGUGUCCAUUACUUUAAUACUAGUGUUGAGGUGUGGAAGUCACCAACCAAAGUGAAAUAACCCAAACAAACAGAUAAGAGUACCUUAUCAUCACUGGAG
RNAcentral lists this unclassified non-coding RNA (211 nucleotides) under Hevea brasiliensis (rubber tree). The record is from RNAcentral. Lineage: Eukaryota; Viridiplantae; Streptophyta; Magnoliopsida; Malpighiales; Euphorbiaceae.